Long non-coding RNA from Papilio xuthus (Asian swallowtail), 440 nucleotides. RefSeq lists it as uncharacterized. The transcript has 3 exons. The record is from RefSeq and is a predicted model, not a curated record. NCBI's taxonomy places the organism in Eukaryota, Metazoa, Arthropoda, Insecta, Lepidoptera, Papilionidae.
CUCUCUCGAGUGAAUUGUGUAUAAGUGAAGUGGUGUAAACUAGGGGCAAUAUGAACUACGAAACAACUGUAAAUGUUAAAAAAUUCAAUCAUAAAACAUCAAAUCAUUCACCGUAAUUAAAAUUUACAAGUUAAAUAAUUAAAUAGCAAACAAAAAUGAAACAAAUUCAGAUGGCAUUAUGGAUGGCAGCAAUCAGCACUUUUUUAUUUACACUACUUCUCUAUCAGUGGUAUCAUAUAUCGAAAUAUCACACAAUUCAACCUGACUUUAAAACCUUAACUUCAGUAGAACAACGAGUCAAGAAAAUUAUAAAACAAGAGUAUAUAGUAGAUACGGCCGGAUGUCAAAUUCCAAUAUCGGUGUUAAAUUUCAAGAAACACCCAUUAAGAAGCAGAAGUAUCGAGUGUGGGAAACGCGCUGUAUUGUUAAAGAAAUUUGGC